CCUACGGGUGGCUGCAGUGGGGAAUAUUGGACAAUGGGCGAAAGCCUGAUCCAGCCAUGCCGCGUGUGUGAAGAAGGCCUUCGGGUUGUAAAGCACUUUCAGUGGGGAAGAAAGCCUUGGGGCUAAUACCCUCGAGGAAGGACAUCACCCACAGAAGAAGCACCGGCUAACUCCGUGCCAGCAGCCGCGGUAAUACGGAGGGUGCGAGCGUUAAUCGGAAUUACUGGGCGUAAAGCGCGCGUAGGCGGUCUGAUAAGCCGGUUGUGAAAGCCCCGGGCUCAACCUGGGAACGGCAUCCGGAACUGUCAGGCUAGAGUGCAGGAGAGGAAGGUAGAAUUCCCGGUGUAGCGGUGAAAUGCGUAGAGAUCGGGAGGAAUACCAGUGGCGAAGGCGGCCUUCUGGACUGACACUGACGCUGAGGUGCGAAAGCGUGGGUAGCAAACAGGAUUAGAUACCUUGAGUC
RNAcentral lists this ribosomal RNA (463 nucleotides) under Vreelandella stevensii. RNAcentral's name for it is "partial 16S ribosomal RNA". It matches the Rfam family "Bacterial small subunit ribosomal RNA", at positions 338 to 795 of the family's 1533-position model. The record is from RNAcentral. Lineage: Bacteria; Pseudomonadati; Pseudomonadota; Gammaproteobacteria; Oceanospirillales; Halomonadaceae.